GAAAUGCGAUAAGUAAUGUGAAUUGCAGAAUUCAUUGAAUCAUCGAAUCUUUGAACGCACAUUGCGCCCGCCAGUAUUCUGGCGGGCAUGCCUGUCCGAGCGUCAUUUCAACCAUCAAGCCCCCGGGCUUGUGUUGGGGACCUGCGGCUGCCCGCAGGCCCUGAAAACCAGUGGCGGGCUCGCUGUCACACCGAGCGUAGUAGCAAUCACCUCGCUCAGGGCGUGCUGCGGGUUCCGGCCGUUAAACAGCCUUACAAAACCCAAGGUUGACCUCGGAUCAGGUAGGAAGACCCGCUGAACUUAAGC
Molecule: unclassified non-coding RNA, 306 nt
Filed under: plant metagenome
Description: partial contains 5.8S ribosomal RNA, internal transcribed spacer 2, and large subunit ribosomal RNA
Rfam family: 5.8S ribosomal RNA (bases 1-105)
Source: RNAcentral